CAUGAUCAUUGCUUCAGCCACACCAUCUCCCACACAUUCACCUACAUCAUCUUCCUCUUCACCUUCCUCCUCCCCCUAGCUCUCUGGCUGAAACAAGCAUCCUGACUGAAUGUCUCACUUCUGUUCAAAUGUCUAUUUAUCCGUUUAACCCAUAUAAAAAGGAAACUUCUGAAGAAAUUAUAUUUUUUUAAAGAAUCAAAAAUGAAAUCAGGAAUAACUAUUUAAUGAAGAUAUACAGGAUAAACAAUGUUAUUUAUCAUCAUUGUUUUGAUUACAGAGAUAACGAUUGCUAGGUCUCCAUUUUCAUCAUUAGUAGUAUUAAUAUCAAGUUCAUUGUCAGGUUUUGCUUAAAGCAUCACUUGUUUAAUUUUCAUUGCAUCAAGUUGACAUCAUUCAUGUUAAUAUAAGCAUGCACACAUGUUUCUCCAUGUCCAUUCAGAACUGCACUAACACUGAGAGAGACAGAGGAGAGAGGAGUCCUACACACAGAGAGAGCGGACAAGAUGGAGGGAGGCGGAGAGAGGGGGUGAAUGGCUGUGUGGAGAGAGAGGGAAGUGGGGAAAAGGGAGUUUUCAGAAAUAGAGUGGGAGAACAAGCAAUCAAAGAGAGCAAGAGACAGGUAUAGAAAGAGAUAAAGGGAAAAGAUAAAGGUAUAUUGAGAGAGAGAGAGGCAGAGAGAGAGAGAGAGGCAGAGAGAGAGAGAGAGAGGCAGAGCAGGCAUGCAGAGGCAUAGAAAGAGAUAAAGGGGCAAGAGAAAGGUAUAUUUAGAGAGAGAGAGAGAGAGAGAGAGAGGCAGAGAGAGAGAGAGCGGCAGGCAGGCAUAGAAAGAGAUAUAUAUUUAGAGAGAGAGAGAGAGAGAGAGAGAGAGAGGUAUAGAAAGAGAUAAAGGGGCAAGAGAAAGAGAGAGAGAGAGAGAGAGAGAGAGAGAGCGGCAGGCAGGCAUAGAAAGAGAUAAAGGGGCGAGAGGAAGGUAUAUUUAGAGAGAGAGAGAGAGCGAGAGAGAGCGAGGGUAAUACUGAGAGCACACUAGCAACCUCCAGUGCUGAGUGAGUGCUAACACCACAGUGUUAUGGGGCAGAGGAUCAUGUGGACUGUGAGGGAUAGAGACAGAGCCUGGAGAUAGGCCAAUGGAUCAAUACUAUAGUAUCUACUUAUACAGGCAGAUCAAUGACCUCCCAGAACAACCUGAGCAGACAUACAGUUCCAGAUGGAAAACUUCUGGCUAUGAUAUGGGAUAUACAGCUUUAAUCUGUGUACAUACCAAGCAUACCAGAAAGCAUCCCUGCACUUCCUUGGCCUGAAGUUGGAAUAGUAACUGGAUCCCCCUGAAUGCGUUUAAGGGGAAAUGGCAGCCAUAGCAUUAGUAGUGCUAACUGUUAGUUGAGGUUAUAGUAGCAGAAGUGGUGGUAGACAUGGUUCUCCCAUGGCAGUAGCCACAUGGUGCUUAAAGAGGAAGUGCAGAGCGUAAACAGGGGGUCAUUGUAUUUCACAAAGAUAAAGGACAUGGCUACCCCCUCUCUGUCUCCCCGUUUGGAGGGACUGCUAGGGGACAUAAAAGAGUCAUUACUCAGCCCAAAAUUCUACCUCAAGUAAUCAAAACGUAUCUAACAUCACGGUGCCAACUGGUUUCCCCUCAGACACACAGUACACAUUUACUAAAAGUAGUACACAACCAACACAGUUACUUAGAUCAGGCAGGGGGGGCACUUUUGAGUGACUGACAGCUGAUCUGGGAAACAACACACACAAUACACUCUAAUCUCUGUGAGAGACCGACUGUUCAUCAGGGAUCAUAAGUAUCCCACUCCCCACCAAGUGCAAUGGGUCCUACAACAAAUGGUUCCUCUAAGACACACAGGACAGAAGACACAUUUUGUUUAAAGACAGGAGUUUCAGUCUGUGGAUGCUAGGAAUGGUGUGGGGCCGCGAGGACAGGUAGAAGAUAGGGAUCUCAUGAGCACAGAAACAUGUCACACAGAAGGUCACAGUGACACACACAAACACACAGGCAUACACACACAGACGCACACAAAUACAAAACACACACACAAACACAGAAAUACACACAAAUCAAAGCAACACAAAUGUGUGUGUCCUUCUAACGUUGUCGUCCAGUCGGAGACAUGAUGGACUGCAGACAAUUUUAUCUUUUCAAAUUAAAUAAUGUCUUUCCGAAAAACAAAAUCUUGGAAUGAUAGAAAAAUUCAAUAUAAUGGUGAAAUCCUUCCCUGUAGGAUACAUUUCCAGUAAGUGCACUCCAAGCCGAGCAGGUCCGUCCUCAUCACAGUUCCCCUGUAGAGUCCUCUGGGGUAAAGUCUGCCAGUAUGUCCAAACAGGGGAACACUAUUCCUGUAACAUCCCAAGGCGCUCAAAUAGUUCAGGUCUUCAAGUACUCACAGUCACAUCCUUAGUGGAUCGUAAAAAAAUGGUAUGGAUAAAUUCCUUUCUGGAUGAUUAUAUUACACAAACCCCCAAAACCAAACAAAUGGAAAAAUAAAAGCAAAUUCACAUUAAUGAGCACCAUGAAGAAGGUGACAAAAUAAUGAGGCGAAGGGACACAUUUCAAGGUUACGUAACAUGCUUCAGCAGAUGGGUUCAUCCACAUUUCUCCCUCCCCUGACAUCAAUAAUAACGACCGGCAAAGGUUCCUUCCUCCAGCUAAAAGAAGCCAGAAAAGCCCAGAUCCAGAGGGUAGGCCCAAACCACUAGAGUCUCCACAACUGAUGUUUGUCCUGCUGGAAACACGACAUGGAUGUUUCUUAACUACACUUGUAUACGAAUGGCCUAAAGUAAAGCAUUGGCAUGGUUUGUCUUUUGAAGUCCAUACAGAGCAGAAACCUUAGGCCCAGGUUUGAUUGGAGGGAGAAAUGUGCAUCAUCACACUCCUUCUGGAUGAAUUACUGGCACUAACCUGAAGCACUGUGUGUGUGUGUGUGUGUGUGUGUGUGUGUGUGUGUGUGUGUGUGUGUGUGUGUGUGUGUGUGUGUGCGUGUGUGCGUGUGUGUGUGUGUGUGUCAGAGAUCUAAGUGUUGCUUGUAUAGAGUGUAGAUUCUGUAUUCCUGUGCUUCGUUGCGACAGGACAGGAGUUGGAAUAUUCAGCAGUAGCAGUAGAAUAGCAGUCGAUGUGUCUCCUUAUCUCUCUUUGUUUGAUGGAGAGAAUUAUUCACAGAUGAGCAGAAAGAAAGGAAAGUCUGGAACUGGAAAGAUGAUAAUAACCUGGGGAGAAGAGGAAAAAGAGAGAGAUAAAGCAGGAGACAGUGCAGAUGAGAAGAUACAUAAACAGAGAACACAGCCUUAGAGUACAGUAAGUCAGGGGGUGAGGUACAUAACAUCUAGAUGGUACAGAUACUCUUGCCUCACAGCUCGUUAAUCUAACAGCCUCUGAGUCUCAGCUGGAUCACAUUCACCAAGAUUAUAAUCACAAAGCUGUGGUUAUAUAGGUCCCUCCAAAGAAAGCUAUGGAAUAUUGAAAAAUUGUGUGUCAGGGUUGGGGUCCACUUCAAUAAAGGCAAUGCAGGAAAUCAAUUCAAUCUAAUUCAUGAAGCAGAAAUUGCCCGUCCUUUAUAAUGACGAUGUUUUCUAAAUCAUACAACUAAUUUAUC
Long non-coding RNA from Oncorhynchus tshawytscha (Chinook salmon), 3602 nucleotides. Lineage: Eukaryota; Metazoa; Chordata; Actinopteri; Salmoniformes; Salmonidae. The record is from Ensembl.